RNAcentral lists this small RNA (28 nucleotides) under Bombyx mori (domestic silkworm). RNAcentral describes it as "ovarian small RNA-11912". Lineage: Eukaryota; Metazoa; Arthropoda; Insecta; Lepidoptera; Bombycidae. The record is from RNAcentral.
AGACUUUGAUGGAUCUUCUCCCAAUACC